GGUACUGCCACAGUCAGCGAGCUCCACCCGAUCUGCACCUCCGCUUCAAAUUGCAGCUCCAUCCGGCCGGCCGCCCCCAUAGUUUAGGCCUGAGUCAGGUACGCCUUCUUUGUUGAGUCGUGCUGCUACUGAGUUAUUGCUGGUCUGCUUGAGAAGUUGUGGUUGUCUUGGAAUGUGAUAACUUAGCACUAAUGUUGGCAGAUCUGAGAUACAAUGGGUCUCCAUCAUUUCAUUUCUAUUUGUUCAAAUCCAUGGACUGCAUUUCUUGAUCUGAUUUACUUGUUAAUUUGAUUUACCCAUGGGUAUUUGACAGAGUUGUCUGUACCUGGCAAAGUUAUCCACGCUUGUGCCUUGCUAGGUCAACGUGAAUACCAUGAACCCGAAUACAUACAUAUCUGUCAAUAAUAUGGAUAAAAUUAGAAUUUGACUUGAUAGGAAAUAUUGAGAAAGAAAUGUUCCACAAUUUCGUACAAUUUACCCCUCUGUGCAGUCUCUCCCAUGUCGUGGUCCAAGCAGCAGCCACUUGAAGGAAACGUGGUCUAGCUCCUAGGAGGCAUGCCUUUUGGUUGUUCACGACUGAAUGUACUCUAAAAAUCCUAUGGUAAAAAAUGAAAACAGGGGGUGGAUGGCUAUAUUGAAUGAACAAUGCUAGAUUAUGAUAUUUACCUUACUGCUGCACAAUCAAGAAAGUUCAUAACACAUAGCAAGUUAUUAGUGACUGCAUUAGAAGAAACGAAAGAGCAUUUGAUAAUUCUGAUGCAUAUGUUGCGGAUUCAUAGUUUGGUCAGGAGUUACAGUAUAUUCAGUUUGUGAUAGGUAGAAGAUACACAUACCGCAAAAUAGUUAUUAUGCAAUAAGUUGAUCCUAUGCACUUGCUCAAUCUACUAUAUGCUAAGUCCAUAUUUAGUGAGCAUGAUCCACUGCUGUUCUAACUGCUUGUUAGUAUAGUUUGGCCAACUGCGAAGUCCUAAUGUAGGCAAAAGUUUGGUAGCAAAAGUAUAUCUUGAUAGUCCUAUAAGAAAUAUUUUUGUGUCAAUUACAAUAAAUUUCUAGGAUCUUAGAUUAUAUUUGAACAAUGUGAAUACAUAUGUAAGGUAGAGUUUACAACCUUUUACUUGUGUGAGGCUUGACUACAUAAUUUCCUUGGUUCUUGUGCUGGUAUUUAUCACUGUCAUCAUUGCUGGUAUCCUGUGACAUGUAGCAUGCUAUAAAUUUGGGAUUGACUGUAGAUAUCUUCAAACCUUCUUUUACUAACACCCUGAUUGUGUCCAUCAUAAAAUGGAUAUAACCGGUCAAGAGAAAGUUCCAACGGUGGCUGCAUCCUCAUGAGUGUUCAUCAUUAGGAAGAAUGGGCUACACAACGCUACCACCACCAGGACACGAGCAGGUCCUGCGAACAGACGACGUGCCCUUCGUUGGGUUGAUGAAAAUUUCAGGUGUUGCACCUUGCAGGAUAUUAUUGUCUCCUGGAGCCAUUCUGGUGGGUCGUGAUGGUCCAAGCAUCAGAGAUUCUAUUGGCCUUCUUUGUUCUUAAGCAUGCUAAUUUUUUUGUUAAAAUAGAUGUAAAAACUGGAGCGACAUUGCAAUUUUAUUCUAACCAAAUGAAUUAACUGUUUUGGUAUCAUGUUCUCUUCUGGUUGAUAAAUUAAAUUGGAUUGUUUGGUGCAGAAAUAAAAAAAAAAUCACAGUUACAGAUGACCAACUUUCUUUGUAAAUGUCUUGCUCUUUCAGGUGUCUUUGCUGCUUCUUUUAGUUACCUGAACUAUUUCAGACAUUGAGGAGCACAUGAGAUUUGUUCAGACAUGUAUCCUUAGCUCCUCAGGUAAUUGCAAAACAACUUGAGAAUGAUGCACACUCAUGCUAACAUGGAUACAUGGUUCUCUUUCAGGUUAAUUGAAAGUUGUUUUUAAAAUCUGGAUACUCUUUUAAAAGAUAUAUGUAGUAUGUUGGUCCCGCAUGAAUGAACAAACUAAAAGAAGAGGAAGAAAUAGAUAUAGCCUCCUGUCUGUUUGAAUGAUAGCCAUCAACAUAUUCUAUUCAUUUCCUGAUUUAUAUGGUUACUAAAUCAAGAGCAAGAACUGCCUGAUGAUCAAGCUUCUUCUCAUUUCCCUAAAACCUAGCAUGCAGCUAGCUAGAUGAAGUUGUAUGCUUUGCCCCCAAUCAAUCAAAGUUGCUACAUGUACAUCUACUAUUUGUAACAUCAGGUCGGACGAAGUGUUCCAACAAUUACUAAAAUAUUUUGAGCAAAUGUGAUUCCAUGCUCAUGGUGGUUCUUAAGAAAUUCACAAAUUAUUUUGAUUUUCA
Molecule: long non-coding RNA, 2304 nt
Organism: Panicum virgatum (switchgrass)
Lineage: Eukaryota; Viridiplantae; Streptophyta; Magnoliopsida; Poales; Poaceae
Exons: 2
Source: RefSeq, a predicted model, not a curated record